CAGGCCUAACACAUGCAAGUCGAACGGGCACCUUCGCCUGUCAGUGGCAGACGGGUGAGUAACACGUGGGAACGUGCCCUUCGGUUCGGAAUAACUCAGGGAAACUUGAGCUAAUACCGGAUACGCCCUUACGGGGAAAGGUUUACUGCCGAAGGAUCGGCCCGCGUCUGAUUAGCUAGUUGGUGAGGUAACGGCUCACCAAGGCGACGAUCAGUAGCUGGUCUGAGAGGAUGAUCAGCCACACUGGGACUGAGACACGGCCCAGACUCCUACGGGAGGCAGCAGUGGGGAAUAUUGGACAAUGGGCGAAAGCCUGAUCCAGCCAUGCCGCGUGAGUGAUGAAGGCCUUAGGGUUGUAAAGCUCUUUCGACGGGGACGAUAAUGACGGUACCCGUAGAAGAAGCCCCGGCUAACUUCGUGCCAGCAGCCGCGGUAAU
Molecule: ribosomal RNA, 437 nt
Filed under: uncultured bacterium
Lineage: Bacteria
Description: bacterial SSU rRNA
Rfam family: Bacterial small subunit ribosomal RNA
Source: RNAcentral